Long non-coding RNA from Vespa mandarinia (Asian giant hornet), 419 nucleotides. The record is from RefSeq and is a predicted model, not a curated record. Lineage: Eukaryota; Metazoa; Arthropoda; Insecta; Hymenoptera; Vespidae.
GGAUUGAAAGCCGGAAGCUGGGCAGAGGUAAUCGCGGAACGCCAUGAAAUCCAACGGUGUCAUAGUCUCUAAGAUCGUCACUUGAUCCACCAGAAGCUACGAAGGACAAAGGAAAGAAAAUAUUUCAUAAUUUCAUAGGGUUAUCGCUAGGUGACGUAUGAAAGUAUUAACUCAUCGAGGGACCGAGAGAUGGCGAUAUAAUCAGUAGCAAUCAAACGAGUUACCGAUCACAGAAAUUAUUUAUAAUAUCAAUGGAAUAUUAACAUUUUGAAGAUAGAAAUAAAUAUCAAUUACGGAUCCGAUAUAAUUAUGUAAUACUAUUCUAUCCUUUCAUUAAUUUGAGAACAUCGUUAAACUGAUAUACGAUCGUAAUAAUAAUUAUCAUAGGAUACAAUUACAAAAAUGAACAAUUUAUUUGG